UACGGAGGAUGCGAGCGUUAUCCGGAUUUAUUGGGUUUAAAGGGUGCGCAGGCGGUGCGUUAAGUCAGCGGUGAAAUGUCCCGGCUCAACCGGGGAGCUGCCGUUGAUACUGGCGCGCUGGAGUGCGGACGGCGCCGGCGGAAUGUGCAAUGUAGCGGUGAAAUGCAUAGAUAUUGCACAGAACACCGAUCGCGAAGGCAGCUGGCGAGGCCGUUACUGACGCCGAGGCACGAAGGCGAGGGGAUCGAAC
This 250-nucleotide ribosomal RNA is filed under the name uncultured prokaryote. RNAcentral's name for it is "partial 16S ribosomal RNA". It matches the Rfam family "Bacterial small subunit ribosomal RNA", at positions 524 to 773 of the family's 1533-position model. The record is from RNAcentral.